AAAAAGGUUAGAGCAGGAGCUUGGAGAAGCAAAAUCAGCUGUUGAGGAGAAAAGACUUGUCUAUGAAAGCUGUCUGGCCAAAGUGUCAUGUCUUGAAAAGUCAAUUCAUGAUCAUGCUGGUAAUAGGGCGAGCAGACUGAAAGAUCUAGAAAAAAAGGUUAAAACGAUAAAAAAUCAGAUGCAGUGUAAUAGGGCAAGCAGACUGAAAGAUCUAGAAAAAAAGGUUAAAACGAUAAAAAAUCAGAUGCAGUCUGCACUGAAGGACCUAAAGG
RNAcentral lists this long non-coding RNA (272 nucleotides) under Nicotiana benthamiana. Its description in RNAcentral is "long non-coding RNA (NBEN_LNC035204)". The record is from RNAcentral. Lineage: Eukaryota; Viridiplantae; Streptophyta; Magnoliopsida; Solanales; Solanaceae.